AAAGUAUCACCUGCCCAAUGAUAAUUAAAUGGCUGCAGUAUAUUAACUGUACAAAGGUAGCAUAAUCAUUUGUUUUAUAAAUUAAAACUUGUAUGAAUGGUAUAAUGAAAAUAUAACUGUCUUUUAUUUAUAAAUAAAAUUUGCUUUUUCAGUGAAGAAGCUGAAAUAAUUUAGAAAGACGAGAAGACCCUAAUGAGUUUUAUAUAUUAUUAUAUAUUUAUAUAAAUAUAUAUUUUAUUGGGGUAAUAAAAGAAAAAAUCUUCUUUUUUAUAAAGAAAAUAAUAAUUAUUGAACCAUUAAUAAUGAUUAAAAGUUUAAAUUACCAUAGGGAUAACAGCAUAAUCUUUUUUAAGAGUACAUAUCGACAAAAAGGAUUGUGACCUCGAUGUUGAAUUAAGAAAAUUAUAUGAUGCAGAAAUUAGUA
This 424-nucleotide ribosomal RNA is filed under the name Kumbadjena sp. WAM-T133782. RNAcentral describes it as "partial 16S ribosomal RNA". It matches the Rfam family "Bacterial large subunit ribosomal RNA", at positions 1849 to 2567 of the family's 2925-position model. The record is from RNAcentral. Lineage: Eukaryota; Metazoa; Onychophora; Udeonychophora; Euonychophora; Peripatopsidae.